AGUUUGAUCCUGGCUCAGAACGAACGCUGGCGGCAGGCUUAACACAUGCAAGUCGAGCGGAUGAGAGGAGCUUGCUCUUCGAUUCAGCGGCGGACGGGUGAGUAAUGCCUAGGAAUCUGCCUAGUAGUGGGGGACAACGUUUCGAAAGGAACGCUAAUACCGCAUACGUCCUACGGGAGAAAGUGGGGGAUCUUCGGACCUCACGCUAUUAGAUGAGCCUAGGUCGGAUUAGCUAGUUGGUAGGGUAAAGGCCUACCAAGGCGACGAUCCGUAACUGGUCUGAGAGGAUGAUCAGUCACACUGGAACUGAGACACGGUCCAGACUCCUACGGGAGGCAGCAGUGGGGAAUAUUGGACAAUGGGCGAAAGCCUGAUCCAGCCAUGCCGCGUGUGUGAAGAAGGCCUUCGGGUCGUAAAGCACUUUAAGUUGGGAGGAAGGGCUCAUAGCGAAUACCUGUGAGUUUUGACGUUACCAACAGAAUAAGCACCGGCUAACUUCGUGCCAGCAGCCGCGGUAA
RNAcentral lists this ribosomal RNA (518 nucleotides) under uncultured bacterium. RNAcentral describes it as "bacterial SSU rRNA". It matches the Rfam family "Bacterial small subunit ribosomal RNA", at positions 10 to 523 of the family's 1533-position model. The record is from RNAcentral.